GUUACAUCAUUAUUAGAACAAAAAAUGACUGGCUGGCUGAUGAACUCACAAGUGUUGGUACUGUGCUGCAUGAGGGGCAGGUCUUUCGCUAACACCACAAGGGUCUCUGGCCCAGAAAGUGGAGUUCAAUAGUAAUUCUUGCUGCAAGU
Small nucleolar RNA from Ailuropoda melanoleuca (giant panda), 149 nucleotides. The record is from Ensembl. NCBI's taxonomy places the organism in Eukaryota, Metazoa, Chordata, Mammalia, Carnivora, Ursidae.